Physeter macrocephalus (sperm whale) is the source of this 3279-nucleotide long non-coding RNA. RefSeq lists it as uncharacterized. The record is from RefSeq and is a predicted model, not a curated record. NCBI's taxonomy places the organism in Eukaryota, Metazoa, Chordata, Mammalia, Artiodactyla, Physeteridae. The transcript has 2 exons.
UGUUAUUUGGUCCACCAGGUUACUGAUAUGCUUGUUUACAGUGCAUUAAUGUUAGGGAAGAAUAUUUUGUCAACAAAAUAGUGGGUGUUUACUUUUUUAGAAGUUAAUGACAUAUUAUUAAUAUUCUUAUAGCAGAAAUAAGAAGGAUAAAAAGAGAGAAAAAGAAAGGGACCACAUCAGUGAAAGAAGAGAGAGAGAACGUUCAGCCUCUACAAGAAAGAGUUCUAAUGACAGAGAUGGGAAGGAAAAGGUGGAGAAGAACAGUACUUCACUUAAAGAGAAGGAGCACAAUAAAGAACCGGAUUUAAGUGUGGGAAAAGAAGUAGAUGACAAGGAUGCACCAAGGACUGAGGAAAACAAAGUACAGCAAAAUGGGAGUUGUCAACCAAAUGAAGAAAACCUCUCUACCAAAACAGAAGCAGUAUAGGACCUACAAAUGCACCUCUAAACCCACGCUGGAAUAGAAUCCAAAGCUUUUAAUUCUCUCAACAAGAUGUUAAACAGUGAAGAAAUCCAGUAGAGCAUAAAGAUAUGAGCUAACAGCUUUUUUAGUUGUUAGGUGACUUUGUGGCCAUCUUGUUACUGAGUAAGAAAAUAAAGCAUGGACAUCGUGAAAAUAACAGGUGUUACCCAAACUCCUCAUCUUCUAAAAGCUGUGCAUUUCCAUGGUGGCUGACACACUUGUCAUGUGGUUUGUUAAGUGUUUGCCAAGAACCAUUAAAAUAAAUGGGACAUUAAAGAUAGAAAUUUGUACUAUCCAUUAAAGACUGGAGAUAAGCAUUGGAGGCUCUUUUAAAAAAUGCUAGUAACUGAUUUUGUAUUGUUUUACUUUUUUUUAAAAAUUUCAAUAUAUUACAGAUUGAUGAUGUGCUUGAAAUUGGUGCAAAUAUAUACACACCCUUGUAAGUGCGGAGUAUGUAAGAAAUUUUAACAUUGACUUCACAGGAUUUACAGUGAUUGUGUUAAAUUCUCACUAUUGUGUUUUCUUUUGCUCAUUGUUUAGGACAGCAGUUUUUCUUUAAAAUAGUUUUACAUAUUAAAGUUGCUUAAAUAAGUGGAUUAAAAACCAACUGACAAUGCAUGCUACUGUUCUUUUUCAAAAGGAAGAACAACUGUGUUGAAUACUAAUAAUAUAUUAGUAUUCAGUGUUCAGAAUCAUUGGGUUUCCCCACAAAGUAAGCAUUUCUUUUUGAACUCUCUUGACAUUUCCAAGCUUAUUAUGAACAGUAUUGCAGUGUGUGUUGUCAGUUGUAGGUGGCAAAGGUGCCAUUUAUAAAAAGAAACCUGGGUUUUCAAAAUGGGCUAUGGGAGCACAAGCUGAAGCUUUAGUGCCUUCUACAACGUGGUAUACUGUUUUCUAGAAUUUUAUAUGGACUAGUCAUUCUCAAUUCAUAUGGAAUUUAGAUGGAUAUUCCAUUCCCUUCCAUAGAGAAGUGUGAAAGUGGUAUGUCAGAAGAGCUUCUUACUUGGUUCACCUAAUAUGAGAGGGAAGUCUGUUUUUAAGAAUGACUUUAGAGCUUAAAACAGCAAUGCAGUUUUGGGACCAUCAGUUUCAUACUGUGAUAAUUGAAAAUGAAGCAGCAUGUUCUUAUUUUACUUAAAGCAAAACCCUUUAGUUGUCUAUAUUAGAUGGCCUUAAUUAUUACCUCUCAAUCAUCUUCUCAUAAAUGAUGUGCAGAAAUUGUACUUAAAGGAGAACAUAUGAGUUUGUCUUAUGUGUAAGGAUAUGUUUACUUAAGCUUAAAAUAUAGGUCAUCCGACAUUGUUAGGCACACUUUUUGCAGAAAGUAUGCAAGUAGUAAAAUGACAACAUUGCUAAUAUUUUCCCCCAGACCACAACUCAUAGUUUCAGAACUCUUUUCAUUGUUGUAUUUCCAAAAGUUAUACCUUUUAAUUAGCAUGUUAUUAAAAAAAUCAAGUAUAAUUAGUUUAAUGCAGUCUAAUACAAUCAAAUUACUCAGUUGCCUUACCUCAUGGGAAGAGUUACUUAUAGAUUUAAAAAGCUAAGUAGCACAUCAGUUACUUGGUUUCAACUUGAGUUUUCUUUUAACGUUAAUACUAUUGAAAUUUAAGUAUUUGGUGGAGAAUGGAAAGAAUUGCCCUUAUUGCAAGCAAUGAAGCCUGGUUUGAUUAUGAAGCUGCUUAAUUACUCCUCAUGUGUUCAGAAUUACUGUGUUUUUUUUUUUUUUUUUUUUCUUUUUUUCACUGUGUACAUUAAAAUUUUUGAAAAUGCUUUACUAUGUAAAGUAUAGAUGGUCAUUUUAAUCAAUCAACCACAUACGGUUGGCUGGUAAACAGCUUAUUUUGAUAUAAGAAUGCUUGGGUGUAUAUGGAAAGAUUGUGAAGGAGUGUGUGUGUCUUGCAUCAAAGCUUCUUAUUUAUGAUAUGUAAGUAGAAUAGAGCAAAUGUUGUUUGAAUCUUUGUUAUUUGUAGUACUGUUUCUCUAAUAAAGCUAAGUAUUUUAGAGGAAAGUAUUUGUUCAUGCAUUUCAAAACAGCAUCUUAGGUUUAUCCUGUUCUUGUUUUAGCUGGCAUAGAAAUUGUUUUGAUAUGGAGAGUGCAUGUUUGUGUGGUGUCUAAAGCCAUCAUUUAAAGUUUGAGUAUUUUUUUGUACUCUGGACUCUAUUAAAUGUUUUUUAUGUUGGUAAUUAACAUAGUUAUUUGGUUCCUGCUGCCAGUUAUUUUUCUUGAUGAGGUUUAUUCAUCUUUAAAAUAACCAUACUAAUCUUGACAGACACUGAUUUAUAAAAAUGGGGCAUGAACAGGAAUACAAGAGGUCUGGAGAAAGUGAAAUCAUUUUCUUAAACAGGCUUAUGGAAGCAAAGCUUUCUAGGGUCUAGAGAUACUGGAGUGAAGGAGGGAGUGUGUGAGUGUGUGUGUGUGUUGUGUGUGAGAGAGAGAGAGAGAGAGAGAGAGAGCUUUUUCUCUUUGUUCACUUUUAAGAGCUGGUAUGUUUUCAUUUAUUUUUUUCUUGUAAGGUAUUUUUUUAUUUCUUUAAAACUGUCUUUUUCAUCCCAGGUAGAUAUUGUCAGGAAAACUUGAGGUAAGGCCAAGAAGACAGCCAUUUUACACUUAAUACCUUCUGUAAAUUAUCUUUUUCAUCUUGAUUAUAUAGUGAGUACAUUCUGUUCCUUAAAUUGUAGUUGCUAUUCAUCAUUCUAGACAAAUUCUCUUGGUCCUCUUGUUCUUGCUUUUCAGCAGUGUGCACUUAACUGGUAAUAAAAGAUGGUCCUUCAUAAGCUAGCCAGUUUCAUGUGAGGAAACAAGUAUAAAACCCUUA